Molecule: transfer RNA, 72 nt
Filed under: Camelus bactrianus (Bactrian camel)
Lineage: Eukaryota; Metazoa; Chordata; Mammalia; Artiodactyla; Camelidae
Also listed under: 2 other names
Rfam family: tRNA
About the family: Transfer RNA (tRNA) molecules are approximately 80 nucleotides in length.
Source: Rfam by way of RNAcentral
GAAGGUAUAGCUGAGAGGUAGAGUGCGUGCUUAGCAAGCAGGAGGCCCUGGAUUCAAUCCCCAGUCCCUCCA